Long non-coding RNA from Oncorhynchus keta (chum salmon), 1899 nucleotides. RefSeq lists it as uncharacterized. Lineage: Eukaryota; Metazoa; Chordata; Actinopteri; Salmoniformes; Salmonidae. The transcript has 3 exons. The record is from RefSeq and is a predicted model, not a curated record.
CAGGCGCUCCAGCAGGUAUAUCUCACUGUUCCUACUUUGGCUGCCUUUCCUUCCAGAUCUCUGCUGUCAAUGACUGGAAUGAACUUGGGAAACAAAAAAACAACAAAAAAAAUCAAGAAAAAUAAAAAAUAAAAAUCACUGAAGCUGGAGACUCAUAUACCCUUCACUAAGUUUAAGCACCAGCUGUCAGAGCAGAUCACAGCACAUGUGCAUAGCCCAUCUGUAAAUAGCCCAUCCAACUACCUCGUCCCCCAUACUGUUGUUUAUUUUGCUCAUUUGCACCCCAGUAUCUCUACUUGCACACUCAUCUUCUGCACAUCUAUCACUCCAGUGUUUAAUUGCUAUAUUGUAAUUAUUUCGCCAUUAUGGCCUACUUAUUGCUUCACCCCCCUUAUCCUACCUCAUUUGCACACACUUUGUAUAGAACUUUCAAUUGUAUUAUUUACUGCAUGUUUCUUUAUUCCAUGUGUAACCCUGUGUUGUUGUUUGUGUCACGCUGCUUUGCUUUAUCUUGGCCAGGUCACAGUUGUAAAUGAGAACUUGUUCUCAACUGGCCUACCUGGUUAAAUAAAGGUGAAAUAAUAAAAAAUAUUAAUAGUUCAGAACGAGUGUCGGGGCUCAUAACAAAACUCCCCCGUGUACAGAUGACGCCUUCAUCCAAUGACUUAUGUGAAAUGUAAAGGAAAGGAAUCAUGAUCAAGGGCUAACUAUCAAGGCUUUCGCAUGCUUCAGUUCAGAUGGCACCUAGACAAACGAGUGUGCUCGCAUAUUCCCCUAAAAGACUUUUGCUUAAAACAAGAUUAAAGCAGAAUAUGUACUGUUUGUCCAUCUUGAGGCGUCAUAGCCAGAAGCCAUACACUUCCUCAAAUCGUCAGAAUGAAUCUUAGAUAACUCAAGAAAUCUAUCAUUGAGUUUGACUUUUUAGCUGAGGAGAUCUUAAUCUCGCAAUUUGAAAUACAACAGUUUUUUGGUGCAGUAUUUCUCAAGUGAAAAAAUAUGUAGUCUAUCCUUGAAUGACAAAAAAAAACACUUAAUUUGAGAAUCCCUACUGUUGACCAAUGAACGACAAAAAGGGGCGUAGACUUUGGCCACCGAAAUUCGGCUUUCCUCAAAAAAAAUUGCGCGCACAAACAGCCGAAGAAACCCUUUCUGAAGACCAAAACAUCACAAAAUGUCAUUAUUUCGGACGGGAAGUAUUGCAGACACCUUUAAGCCUUAUGCAUGUUUUGGCUAGGCGAACCAAACGAGGGUGCUUGCAUACUCCCUUAUAAGACCUUCGCUUGAAAAACAAAAAAAAGCUGUAUCUUGAAAUGCCGUCCCACAUGCACUUCCUCAAAAUAGUCUGAAUUAAUCUAAGAUAACUGAAGAAAUGUCAUUAAUUUAAACGUUUUUGGUCAAGGAGAUCGUAGUUGGACAAUUUUACAUAUAAGAUGUUAGGUGCAGUAUUUUUCAAUGACAUUUUUCUGCAUAAAACCAUUAGUCCUUGAAUUACAAACAAUUCAUUGAAGAAUCCCUACUUUCGACCAAUCACCAAUGAAGGGGCGUUAUCUUCGGCUACCGACUUCGGCUUCCCUCAAGAAAAAUGUGCGCACGAACAGCCGAAAAAAACUCGCGGAAGACAAACGUAACAUGUCUUAAUAUAUACACGAACUGUUCCAGAUGGGAAGUAUGUGGACGCCUUAAGCCUACAUGUACAGUUUGUCCUGACAAAGACCAAUUUGCGAUUUAUCAUUUUAGGUCGUUGCUGUAACUGAGAAUGUGUUCAACUUACCUGGAAAAUGGUCCAAUUCGCACACUUUUCAAGACAUCCCUGGUCAUCCCUACUGCCUCUGAUCUGGCGGACUGACUAAACACAUGCUUACUUUGUAAAUGAUGUCUGAGGGUUGGAGUGUGCCCCGG